Molecule: long non-coding RNA, 208 nt
Filed under: Elaeis guineensis (African oil palm)
Lineage: Eukaryota; Viridiplantae; Streptophyta; Magnoliopsida; Arecales; Arecaceae
Description: long non-coding RNA (EGUI_LNC048825)
Source: RNAcentral
CCUUGAUCAGUAAUGAUUUGUUGAUUUCUCUUUUAGACCUGUUUGGGUUAGUCUAAGACUUCUUGAUUAAUUCGCUAAAAGACUAUACUCAAUUUUUGAUACUAGCUAUCAAAGUUAGAUCUGAUAACAUUGUCACGGUCAAACAGUGAACAGAGUGAUAAUAUUCUAGUCAUUUUUAAAAAGAGAACAAUUGACCUAUUAGUAUAUG